GAGUUGUAGUCUGGAGAAGUGCUUUNCGCGNNCUGGNCCGUGUACAAGUCUCUUGGAACAGAGCGUCAUAGAGGGUGAGAAUCCCGUCUUUGACACGGACUACCAGUGCUUUGUGAUGCGCUCUCAAAGAGUCGAGUUGUUUGGGAAUGCAGCUCAAAAUGGGUGGUAAAUUCCAUCUAAAGCUAAAUAUUGGCGAGAGACCGAUAGCGAACAAGUACCGUGAGGGAAAGAUGAAAAGCACUUUGGAAAGAGAGUUAAACAGUACGUGAAAUUGCUGAAAGGGAAACGCUUGAAGUCAGUCGCGUCGUGCAGGACUCAGCCUUGCUUUUGCUUGGUGCACUUUCUGUACGACGGGCCAGCAUCAAUUUUGACCGUCGGAAAAGGGCUGAGGGAAUGUGGCACCUUCGGGUGUGUUAUAGCCUUCAGUCGCAUACGGCGGUUGGGAUUGAGGAUCGCAGCGCGCCGCAAGGCAGGGGUUCGCCCACUUUCGCGCUUAGGAUGCUGGCAUAAUGGCUUUAAACGACCCGUCUUGAAACACGGACCAAGGAGUCUAACUUACCUGCGAGUGUUUGGGUGGAAAACCCGAGCGCGUAAUGAAAGUGAAAGUUGGGACCUCUGUCGUGGAGGGCACCGACGCCCGGACCUGACGUUCUCUGACGGAUCCGCGGUAGAGCAUGUAGGUUGGGACCCGAAAGAUGGUGAACUAUGCCUGAAUAGGGUGAAGCCAGAGGAA
Molecule: ribosomal RNA, 733 nt
Filed under: Porogramme brasiliensis
Lineage: Eukaryota; Fungi; Basidiomycota; Agaricomycetes; Polyporales; Polyporaceae
Description: LSU rRNA
Rfam family: Eukaryotic large subunit ribosomal RNA
Source: RNAcentral